UCUGGCCUUUGAUUCUCCUGAAAAACCAAACAACCAACAAAAGCCAAAUCAAAAUAACGAUGGUCUCCAAUGUUAUGCUCAUUGACUGGAAAAUUUUGCCAACAGAUGCGUGUAGAGAUAGAUUGUGUUGAAUCAUAUUAUUUUUUGAUGAAGUUUCCCACCCAUUGCAGUUUCUAUUUAGAGUAAGGGACUCAUUUUCUAUCUAUGUUGAAGGAUCCUGGGGAUCUGCAUAUCCAGAAGUGAAGAUUGUCAACAAAUUCAUAAUCCUCCUAUCUCAGAUUCCUGACUAGUGUUCACUACAGGUUUGCACUGAUAAUCUCAGAUAGGGAAACACAGUGUAUGAAACUCUUGCAGACCUUGGUCAUUGAGAACACAAGGAUGCUAGAGGAGGAGGCAUAUGUAGGAGAAGAGAAAGAGUACUUCCUUGCUGAGGCCAUUAAGCAGCUGAGUCACCAGCCUUGAAACUAUGGAACUCCCUCCAUUCUUCAGUGCAGUUAUCCUUCAUAUGCAUCCUUAUAGAGAAGUGCUUGGAAGAGGGAGAUCAAGGUCGAAUGACACUUUCUCAAUGGAAAGCCUAUUCCAAAGAAAGAAGCCCUUCAUAAAAUAAUAAAG
Molecule: non-coding RNA, 612 nt
Organism: Peromyscus maniculatus bairdii (prairie deer mouse)
Lineage: Eukaryota; Metazoa; Chordata; Mammalia; Rodentia; Cricetidae
Source: RefSeq, a predicted model, not a curated record